Molecule: ribosomal RNA, 1049 nt
Filed under: Staphylococcus aureus
Lineage: Bacteria; Bacillati; Bacillota; Bacilli; Caryophanales; Staphylococcaceae
Description: partial 23S ribosomal RNA
Rfam family: Bacterial large subunit ribosomal RNA
Source: RNAcentral
CUGGGAGGACCAUCUCCUAAGGCUAAAUACUCUCUAGUGACCGAUAGUGAACCAGUACCGUGAGGGAAAGGUGAAAAGCACCCCGGAAGGGGAGUGAAAUAGAACCUGAAACCGUGUGCUUACAAGUAGUCAGAGCCCGUUAAUGGGUGAUGGCGUGCCUUUUGUAGAAUGAACCGGCGAGUUACGAUUUGAUGCAAGGUUAAGCAGUAAAUGUGGAGCCGUAGCGAAAGCGAGUCUGAAUAGGGCGUUUAGUAUUUGGUCGUAGACCCGAAACCAGGUGAUCUACCCUUGGUCAGGUUGAAGUUCAGGUAACACUGAAUGGAGGACCGAACCGACUUACGUUGAAAAGUGAGCGGAUGAACUGAGGGUAGCGGAGAAAUUCCAAUCGAACCUGGAGAUAGCUGGUUCUCUCCGAAAUAGCUUUAGGGCUAGCCUCAAGUGAUGAUUAUUGGAGGUAGAGCACUGUUUGGACGAGGGGCCCCUCUCGGGUUACCGAAUUCAGACAAACUCCGAAUGCCAAUUAAUUUAACUUGGGAGUCAGAACAUGGGUGAUAAGGUCCGUGUUCGAAAGGGAAACAGCCCAGACCACCAGCUAAGGUCCCAAAAUAUAUGUUAAGUGGAAAAGGAUGUGGCGUUGCCCAGACAACUAGGAUGUUGGCUUAGAAGCAGCCAUCAUUUAAAGAGUGCGUAAUAGCUCACUAGUCGAGUGACACUGCGCCGAAAAUGUACCGGGGCUAAACAUAUUACCGAAGCUGUGGAUUGUCCUUUGGACAAUGGUAGGAGAGCGUUCUAAGGGCGUUGAAGCAUGAUCGUAAGGACAUGUGGAGCGCUUAGAAGUGAGAAUGCCGGUGUGAGUAGCGAAAGACGGGUGAGAAUCCCGUCCACCGAUUGACUAAGGUUUCCAGAGGAAGGCUCGUCCGCUCUGGGUUAGUCGGGUCCUAAGCUGAGGCCGACAGGCGUAGGCGAUGGAUAACAGGUUGAUAUUCCUGUACCACCUAUAAUCGUUUUAAUCGAUGGGGGGACGCAGUAGGAUAGGCGAAGCGUGCGAU